RNAcentral lists this ribosomal RNA (301 nucleotides) under uncultured bacterium. RNAcentral's name for it is "partial 16S ribosomal RNA". It matches the Rfam family "Bacterial small subunit ribosomal RNA", at positions 509 to 807 of the family's 1533-position model. The record is from RNAcentral.
CAGCAGCCGCGGUAAUACAGAGGGUGCGAGCGUUAAUCGGAUUUACUGGGCGUAAAGCGUGCGUAGGCGGCUUUUUAAGUCGGAUGUGAAAUCCCUGAGCUUAACUUAGGAAUUGCAUUCGAUACUGGGAAGCUAGAGUAUGGGAGAGGAUGGUAGAAUUCCAGGUGUAGCGGUGAAAUGCGUAGAGAUCUGGAGGAAUACCGAUGGCGAAGGCAGCCAUCUGGCCUAAUACUGACGCUGAGGUACGAAAGCAUGGGGAGCAAACAGGAUUAGAGACCCGCGUAGUCCCUGUCUCUUAUAC